AUGGUUAUUCAUAUUAUAAUAAUCCUGUUAUAAAAUAUCUAGACAAGGCAAAAUGAAUAGAAAAAUUGUAACUAUUAAGGAGCUAGAAGAUAGGUUAGAUGAUUAUAGUAUAAAACUUAAAAUAAGAACUUCAUUCGAUUCUCUAGGUAAUAUAAAAAUAGAUGUAAAAUGAAUAGCUAGAUUAGUAGUUAAAGAUAUAUUUGAUACACAUUUAGAUGAUAGAUAUUUAAGAAUAGCUAAUUUUUAGAUAGAUAGGGAAUAACUUAGUGCAGACU
Molecule: long non-coding RNA, 275 nt
Filed under: Elaeis guineensis (African oil palm)
Lineage: Eukaryota; Viridiplantae; Streptophyta; Magnoliopsida; Arecales; Arecaceae
Description: long non-coding RNA (EGUI_LNC045643)
Source: RNAcentral